Molecule: transfer RNA, 74 nt
Filed under: Tsukamurella tyrosinosolvens
Lineage: Bacteria; Bacillati; Actinomycetota; Actinomycetes; Mycobacteriales; Tsukamurellaceae
Description: tRNA_Pro_TGG
Rfam family: tRNA
About the family: Transfer RNA (tRNA) molecules are approximately 80 nucleotides in length. Their secondary structure includes four short double-helical elements and three loops (D, anti-codon, and T loops). Further hydrogen bonds mediate the characteristic L-shaped molecular structure. tRNAs have two regions of fundamental functional importance: the anti-codon, which is responsible for specific mRNA codon recognition, and the 3' end, to which the tRNAs corresponding amino acid is attached (by aminoacyl-tRNA synthetases). tRNAs cope with the degeneracy of the genetic code in two manners: having more than one tRNA (with a specific anti-codon) for a particular amino acid; and 'wobble' base-pairing, i.e. permitting non-standard base-pairing at the 3rd anti-codon position.
Source: RNAcentral
CGGGGUGUGGCGCAGCUUGGUAGCGCAUCCGCUUUGGGAGCGGAGGGUCGCACGUUCGAAUCGUGUCACCCCGA